AGAACCCAGGGAGAUACCAUGAUCGACCAGGUGGCUUUCCCAGGGUGAAACCUGUCCAUUGCAAAUGGGGCAGGCCGACCCCUGCAAGUUCACAAAUGUGAGCAACUUGACUGUAUAAUUUUGUGAUAAUGAGGGACUGUGUGUGCUCUUGUUCCCC
Small nuclear RNA from Alligator sinensis (Chinese alligator), 157 nucleotides. RefSeq annotates it as U1 spliceosomal RNA. The transcript has a single exon. NCBI's taxonomy places the organism in Eukaryota, Metazoa, Chordata, Crocodylia, Alligatoridae. The record is from RefSeq and is a predicted model, not a curated record.